Molecule: RNA transcript, 1220 nt
Organism: Olea europaea var. sylvestris
Lineage: Eukaryota; Viridiplantae; Streptophyta; Magnoliopsida; Lamiales; Oleaceae
Gene name: branched-chain-amino-acid aminotransferase 2, chloroplastic-like
Exons: 6
Source: RefSeq, a predicted model, not a curated record
UUUCAUUUUUACUUGUAUUUUUAGUCCUUAUAAAAUGUAAAUUCGAAUUGAAAAGAAAACUGAAAAGAAAAACUGAAAUUAAAGAAAAUUAUUUCCACAUUUUUUUGGCGUUCUUUUUUAUUUUCCUUCUGUUUUCCCUUUCUUUUCUUUUACUUUUUCUUUUCCGACACUUCUUUCUUCUUCUCCCUUCGCUAUUUCCCCCUACUCUGUUGCAACUUCCGUCACCAUAUUACCGUCCCGCCACCUUCAAUCAGCCAUCAGUCAUCGAGCCCACUAGCCUAACGACCCAAAUCAACGCUUGAGACAGCUAAGAGGAGUAGCUGCUCCAAUGGCAUUUGUCUCCCAACACGUUCAUACAAGAAACACAUCCUCACUGUACACAUGGUAUCUUUAUACUCCCAUCGAGUAUUUUCAAAGAUGUUGAUUUUUACACGAAUUGUUUGUUUCAUAAAUAAUUACUAACUCAAGAAAUAUACUAACUUUUUAGGUGUCUUUCUAUUUUUAUGAUGAACGAAGUUACUAUGAGAAAAGAUUAAGAAGUAUGAAAAUAUAGUCGCUUGAGAAUUCGAUCUAUUGGGUUUGGCUUGUGCUUGGAUCUAUUAGGUUUGGCCCGUGCUUCUGAAUACACAUUCUUCGUCUUUGCAUUCCUGGAGGGUAUGACACCCUUGAACCUAUAUGCUGAGGAUGAAUUUCAUCAUUCUGCUUGAGCUGGGGCUGGAGGUGUCAAAAGAAUUACAAAUUAUGCUCCGGUAAAAUAUAUGCUGGAUGAUCAUAAUAAUCUCGUUUUGAAAUCGUUAAACAGAGCAAGGAACAGAGGGUUCUCUUAUGCCUUAUACCUUGAUUCGAUGAAUAAGCGAUAUAUUGAAGAGUUCUCUUCUUGUAAUGUCUUCAUUUUGAAGGUUAAAGAAUGUCCAAUUCCAUUUGAAGAAUUACUUGAUGCUGACGAAGUUUUCUGCACAGUGUAGGUGCUACCUGGAGACUACAAGCAGGAUCAAUGAUUGUCAUCUUUGGGUUGGAGCAAUAGGAUUAGUUGUAUGAUCUUCCACAUGAUAGAAUAGAAGGAUUUGCUGCAUAUCUAAUUCAUGAUGAUGAAUAGUUAUAUUUUUUUAGGUGCAUAAUAAUAGAUAUAGAGCAUGCUUGCUAUGAUCUUUUAAAUUUAGAUGUAAUGAUACUUUGUAAAUGGUUUUUAUUUUUGUUUUGGUGAAAUAUUUUGAAUUCAA